GAAAAAACCACCUGGGGAGGUGGUUUUUCGAAGGUUCAGUAAGUUGGGGAACUUCUGAACCGUGGUAACAGGGUGUACAAGACCGCUGCCACCAAAUACGUCCUUUCAGUUUAGCCGUAGUUAGGCUUCAACUUCAAGAACUCUGCACCAGUAAUCUCUUGUACACCCCUUUACCAGUGGCUACCGCCAAUGGCGAUUUGACGUGUCUGUAAGGGUUGGACUCAAGACGAUAGUUACCUUACAUGGCGCGGUAGUCGGACUGAACGGGGGGUUCGUGCAUACAGUCCAGCUUGGAGCGAACUGCCUACCCGGAACUGAGUGUCAGGCGUGGAAUGAGACAAACGCGGCCAUAACAGCGGAAUGACACCGGUAAACCGAAUGGCAGGAACAGGA
This 393-nucleotide unclassified non-coding RNA is filed under the name Proteus mirabilis. Its description in RNAcentral is "partial miscellaneous RNA". Lineage: Bacteria; Pseudomonadati; Pseudomonadota; Gammaproteobacteria; Enterobacterales; Morganellaceae. The record is from RNAcentral.